GUCUAUGACCAUACUACCCUGAAUGCGCCCGAUCUCAUCUGAUUUCUGGAAGCUAAGCAGGGUUGGGCCUGGUUAGUACUUGGAUGGGAGAAAGUUCCAGGGCAUGUUUC
Non-coding RNA from Otolemur garnettii (small-eared galago), 110 nucleotides. The record is from Rfam. NCBI's taxonomy places the organism in Eukaryota, Metazoa, Chordata, Mammalia, Primates, Galagidae.